GGAUUAGAUACCCUGGUAGUCCACGCCGUAAACGAUGUCUACUAGCCGUUGGGGGGCAUGUCCCCUUGGUGGCGCAGCUAACGCGAUAAGUAGACCGCCUGGGGAGUACGGUCGCAAGAUUAAAACUCAAAGGAAUUGACGGGGGCCCGCACAAGCGGUGGAGCAUGUGGUUUAAUUCGAUGCAACGCGAAGAACCUUACCUGCCCUUGACAUCCUCGGAACGAUCUAGAGAUAGAUUGGUGCCUUCGGGAACCGAGUGACAGGUGCUGCAUGGCUGUCGUCAGCUCGUGCCG
This 293-nucleotide ribosomal RNA is filed under the name uncultured bacterium. RNAcentral describes it as "partial 16S ribosomal RNA". It matches the Rfam family "Bacterial small subunit ribosomal RNA", at positions 775 to 1067 of the family's 1533-position model. The record is from RNAcentral.